This 1398-nucleotide long non-coding RNA is filed under the name Gossypium barbadense (sea-island cotton). RNAcentral's name for it is "long non-coding RNA (GBAR_LNC014671)". Lineage: Eukaryota; Viridiplantae; Streptophyta; Magnoliopsida; Malvales; Malvaceae. The record is from RNAcentral.
UUUUUUCCUGCUUCAUUUUUAAUUUCAACUAAAAAACAAGCCUCUCUCCCUCCCUCAAAGUUUCCAGCAGCCAAACAUGGCCACGCCGGCGAGCGGCCGUUCUGAGGCCGGGGCUCCGUCAUGGGCGGUGGUCGGAGCAAGAAAAGAGGGGUUUUGAACCCCGUUCUCGACCUCCACCUUAAGGCCCGAUCCUCCAGACGCAACGAGCCAAAAAAGGAGAGACCUUUCAUCCAUUUCUCGGUCCGAUUCCAGCACCGAAGACGGUCUCCGGGGACAGACUUUCGAGACCGGUAAGAAUCCUUUCUCUCUUUUGUUUCGUUUAAAAAGUUAUAGAAAAUAAAUAAAAAAGGAAGAAAAUAAACAAAAAAGAAACGCAAGAACAGAAAAGAAAAUAGACUGAGAUCAACCUUUUUUGCUUUUUGAUCUUCUUGUUAUUAAUUCGUUGUAUUUUUGUGAAAAUGUUACAAAAGAAAAAGAAAAGACCCGAUUACCGUGAUGAAGCCCCCCUGCUUUCGGUUUACAAAUUGAUUUUUAUACCCAAAAGAAAAGAAAAUAAAAAAUCAAUCUUUGCUGUUGUCCUUUAGGUCUUUGCUUGUUUCUCUCUGUUUGGCCUCUGUUUUUGCAGGAGUAGGUGCGGCGUCAGAGGCAGGAGCGUACGGCACACAUGGCCCUGGCAUGCGGCGCUGGAGAAGGCAGGGAACCCUAGGGUUCCCUGAUUUUUAAUUUUUGGGCCCAAUUGGGCCAAUUUAGUUUUUUGGGCCUACUGUUUUUGGGUUAAUGGGCCCGGGCAAAUUUGGGCCUAUACAGUCAUAAUUCUGACAUAUGGCCCAAAUAGAUAGUUUGCACUCCCAGUCCCCUCUCUUGGUAUCAUAAGUAUCUUUUAAACAACUCUAAAGCUGCUUAAUUUUAAACUUUCUUUGUAUUCUUUUAAUUGAAAACAUUUCAAAUAUAUAUUAUCCAAUAAGUUAUAAAAGUUUCCGGUUGUCCUCUACUUUUUAGUAUAAUGUCACCAGUAAACAUUAAAUGAUUAAAGCUGUAUGCAAAACUACAGGGCAAUUUUUGUGCUCUUUUUGGACUGGGUUUCGGUGAACUGGGCUUCAAGAGGGCUGAAAAUGAUGGGCCUGCAAAAUAGAGAAAGAUUAGCCAUGGUGGCUGUUGAGACUUUAACUAUCCAGUCCACAUUGUUUGAGACAAUACUUGGGAUAGCUUGUUUCAUUCCUUAUUCGAUUUGGGACUGUAUAUUGGAACAAUUAAAGUGCAAUAAGUUUGUUAGUAUUUUUUAUUUGAUUUAUCUUGGUUAGUUUUCUAUCAAGAAAUGAUUCUUGAUUUGAAGUUACAAUUAUUUUUCUCUUGAUUUAAUUUCGAAUGAAAGAAAUAGAAGAGAGGUUGAUUAAAUGC